RNAcentral lists this ribosomal RNA (511 nucleotides) under uncultured bacterium. RNAcentral's name for it is "partial 16S ribosomal RNA". It matches the Rfam family "Bacterial small subunit ribosomal RNA", at positions 28 to 523 of the family's 1533-position model. The record is from RNAcentral.
GACGUACGCUGGCGGCGUGCCUAAUACAUGCAAGUAGAACGCUGAAGGAGGAGCUUACUUCUCUGGAUGAGUUGCGAACGGGUGAGUAACGCGUAGGUAACCUGCCUGGUAGCGGGGGAUAACUAUUGGAAACGAUAGCUAAUACCGCAUAAGAGUAGAUGUUGCAUGACAUUUACUUAAAAGGUGCAAUUGCACCACUACCAGAUGGACCUGCGUUGUAUUAGCUAGUUGGUGGGGUAACGGCUUACCAAGGCGACGAUACAUAGCCGACCUGAGAGGGUGAUCGGCCACACUGGGACUGAGACACGGCCCAGACUCCUGCGGGAGGCAGCAGUAGGGAAUCUUCGGCAAUGGACGGAAGUCUGACCGAGCAACGCCGCGUGAGUGAAGAAGGUUUUCGGAUCGUAAAGCUCUGUUGUAAGAGAAGAACGAGUGUGAGAGUGGAAAGUUCACACUGUGACGGUAUCUUACCAGAAAGGGACGGCUAACUACGUGCCAGCCGCCGCAGUAA